RNAcentral lists this ribosomal RNA (460 nucleotides) under uncultured bacterium. RNAcentral describes it as "partial 16S ribosomal RNA". It matches the Rfam family "Bacterial small subunit ribosomal RNA", at positions 338 to 795 of the family's 1533-position model. The record is from RNAcentral.
CCUACGGGAGGCAGCAGUGAGGAAUAUUGGUCUAUGGACGAGAGUCUGAACCAGCCAAGUAGCGUGAAGGAUGACUGCCCUAUGGGUUGUAAACUUCUUUUAUAUGGGAAUAAAACGUUCCACGUGUGGGAUUUUGUAUGUACCAUAUGAAUAAGGAUCGGCUAACUCCGUGCCAGCAGCCGCGGUAAUACGGAGGAUCCGAGCGUUAUCCGGAUUUAUUGGGUUUAAAGGGAGCGUAGGUGGAUUGUUAAGUCAGUUGUGAAAGUUUGCGGCUCAACCGUAAAAUUGCAGUUGAAACUGGCAGUCUUGAGUACAGUAGAGGUGGGCGGAAUUCGUGGUGUAGCGGUGAAAUGCUUAGAGAUCACGAAGAACUCCGAUUGCGAAGGCAGUUCACUGGACUGCAACUGACACUGAGGCUCGAAAGUGUGGGUAUCAAACAGGAUUAGAUACCCUUGUAGUC